This is a long non-coding RNA of Perca fluviatilis (European perch), 274 nucleotides long. RefSeq lists it as uncharacterized. The record is from RefSeq and is a predicted model, not a curated record. The transcript is spliced from 3 exons. NCBI's taxonomy places the organism in Eukaryota, Metazoa, Chordata, Actinopteri, Perciformes, Percidae.
UCUCCUCAGGUCAGCAACAAGCUCACCUCAAAGCUCAGGAGAGACACCUGAACCCAGCGUCAUUCUCUGACUCUCUAGAUUUCAGCAGGAACAAUGGCCAACAUUGGUAAUACCAGCAACGUACACUUGGGCUCCAACACAGGGAACGUUGGUUCUAAUAAUGCCUUCAACAUUCAAGGAGGCGUUGGACCCAAUGUUGCUGUGGGCAACACCUCUGGUGUCACUGUAACAGGAAGUAAUGCAGGGAACAUCGGAUCAGGCAACACAUUUGAUA